Nyctereutes procyonoides (raccoon dog) is the source of this 1536-nucleotide long non-coding RNA. RefSeq lists it as uncharacterized. The record is from RefSeq and is a predicted model, not a curated record. The transcript has 3 exons. Lineage: Eukaryota; Metazoa; Chordata; Mammalia; Carnivora; Canidae.
GCUCCCGCAGGGGCGGCCGCCGGGGGGAUGGCGUCCGCUCGAGGCCCGAGCUUCGCCGCGCGUGUUUUGGCUGCACGGCCCGGGCGCGCCGACUCCGACAGCGGGACGAGGCCUGCGCGGACUCGAGAGUUUGGGAUUUUAUUUAUUCAUGAGAGGCCCAGAGAGAGAGACACACAGGCAGAGGGAGAAGCAGGCUCCAUGCAGGGAGCCCGACGUGGAACUCGAUCCCGGGUCUCCAGGAUCACACCCUGGGCUGUAGGCAGUGAUAAACCGCUGAGCCACCCGGGCUGCCCACCACACAGUGAGAGAGAGAGAGAGAGGCAGAGACACAGGCAGAGGGAGAAGCAGGCUCCAGGCACCGGGAGCCCGACGUGGGAUUCGAUCCCGGGACUCCAGGAUCGCGCCCUGGGCCAAAGGCAGGCACCAAACCGCUGCACCACCCGGGGAUCCCCAAUUUCUUAUUUUAAUAUAUUUUAGUUUCUUGGUGAAAAUUUUAUCAUCUACAGAUAAUGACAGUUUUAUUUAUAGCUUUCUAAUAUUCAAAAAUACUGCACUCUAGGAUAUCAGGGAAACAUUGAAUAGAAGUAAUGGUAACAGGCAUCCUUCCUUGUUCCUGAUAAAGGAAAUUAUGUUAAACUUUAAAGUGUGGUUUUGCGGGCACCUGGGUGGCUCAGUGGUUGGGCGUCUGCCGUCAGCUCAGGUCAUCCUGGGGUCCUGGAAUCAAGUCCCAUAUCAGGCUCCCUGCAUGGAGCUUGCUUCUCCCUCUGCCUGUGUCUCUUCCUCUCUCUGUGUCUCUCAUGAAUAAAUAAAGAAAAUCUUAAACCAAAAAAAAAAAAAAAAAGUGGUUUUGCUAUAGCUCUCGGUAGCUGUCCGUUAUGAGAUGAUGCAAAUUCCCUUCUAUUUCUGUUUUUGUUGUUGUUGUUGUUGAACUUUAUUAAAAUGCUUAUGGUAGGUGCCUUUUAUCAGCUUAUGAAAGCCCUUUCUCUACUGGCUUGCUGAGAGUUAUUAUCAUGAUGGAUGUUGAGUUUUAUCAAACCUAUCUUAGGUCUCUUAAGAUGACCCUAUAGUUUUUCUCCCUUAGUUAAUAUGAAUUGUACUAAUAGUUUGCUUAAUCAGCCUUAUCUUGACCUAUCAUGAUCAUUUUGUGCUACUUUCUUAUUUAAUCUAUGUUCAUGAGUGAGUUUAGUGUAUAAUUUGUCAUAGUCUUUUUGUUUUGUUUUGAUGUCUUGAUUAGGCUACUCAUAAAUGAGUUAGGUAGUAGUUCCUAUUUUUCUUUUUCUCAGGAAGAGUUUGUAUAAGAUUGAAAUUACCUGUUCCUUGAAUGUUUAUUAAAACUUACUUGGACGGGAUCCCUGGGUGGCGCAGCGGUUUAGCGCCUGCCUUUGGCCCAGGGCGCGAUCCUGGAGACCCUGGAUCGAAUCUCACGUCGGGCUCUGGGUGCAUGGAGCCUGCUUCUCCCUCUGCCUAUGUCUCUGCCUCUCUCUCUCUCUCUCUCUCUCUCUCUCUCUCUCUCUGUGACUAUCAUAAAUAAAUAAA